AUAAACGCUGGCGGCGUGCCUAACACAUGCAAGUCGAGCGAGAAAGUUCCUUCGGGAGCGAGUACAGCGGCGGACGGGUGAGUAACGCGUGAGAAUCUGCCCUUCAGUGAAGAAUACCUCCGGGAAACCGGGGUUAAUGCUGCAUACGUCCCUUCGGGGAGAAAGAUGGCCUCUUUGCUGUCGCUGAGGGAUGAGCUUGCGUACUAUUAGCUAGUUGGUGGGGUAAUGGCCUACCAAGGCGAUGAUGGUUAACCGGCCUGAGAGGGUGUACGGUCACAUUGGAACUGAGAAACGGUCCAGACUCCUACGGGAGGCAGCAGUGAGGAAUCUUGCGCAAUGGGCGAAAGCCUGACGCAGCGACGCCGCGUGGAGGAUGAAGGUUUUAGGAUUGUAAACUCCUGUUAAGUGGGAAGAAAGAACCAUCCCUAAUACGGAUGGGAGAUGACUGUACCAUUAGAGAAAGCACCGGCUAACUUCGU
RNAcentral lists this ribosomal RNA (479 nucleotides) under uncultured bacterium. RNAcentral's name for it is "bacterial SSU rRNA". It matches the Rfam family "Bacterial small subunit ribosomal RNA", at positions 29 to 506 of the family's 1533-position model. The record is from RNAcentral.